GGUUGCAAAGCAGCAAGUCGAUCUCCAACUUGCUCCCACUAAUAGCUGGAAUACUACAGACAAAUUGUAAACACACUACUUUCACAGCAGGGGUGUGCUAUUGCUGCUUUUACUUGCCAUAGGAGUUGGCACAAGUCACACACACACACACAGACACACACACACACAUAUACACCCACGCACGCACGCACACCCACGCACGCACACACACAGACAAACAGUUUCUUCUGCAGGUUUGAACUGCGAUCAAGAUGGGCAAUGAGCAUUCCAAAAACAAGGCUGAGCAGGCUCCAGAAAAGCCCCUGCAUGGAGGUUUGAAUGGCCAUGCUGUAAGCAUCUCAUCCAAUGGCCUGGAGAAUGUUACCAGUGAAGCAGCUGUGGAGCAGAACAGUAUGCCUACCUCACUGCCUCCCUCUGAAGAGUCAGGUAUAGUGGAGGCAGAUGGCAGUGGUCUUGGGCCUGUGGUGGUGGAACAGAAGUCUGCCGUCAAGAAGGUUCCAGAAGUGGAACCAGAGACACAGAAUGCUAAGACUCAAAACACAGCGGAACCGGAACUGGAACCAGCCACCCAAGAGAAGGAGGAGCCCAAGAACAGUACACAAGAAAAAGUGAACAUCUUUGAAAAUCUGUUCAAGAAGAAAGCUAAGCCUCAACCCACCCCCAACCCGGAUCCAGCCCUGGAAAAGGAGGAGCCCAUAAGGGAGAAGAUUGUGGAGGAGAUUGAAAGUUCUGCGGAAGAUCAGAAAGUCCCUGUGGCUGUGACCGAUGGGAUCCAAGCUGAGCCACUUGCUGAGGUAAAGGAGGAUACAGAGACUUCAAAGGAGCGUCCCAACCCUAGUCCAGAGGCAGAGGAGGUCAAAAGCCCCAAAAUUGCAGAGGAAAGCAGUCACAUUCAGGAAAACCAAGAGGGAGAGAGUCAAACAGAAGAUAAUCCAGUUAUGAACUUCUUCAAAACACUAGUGACUCCCAUAAAAAAAAACAAGCAAGAAACAGCCACCCCUGAUGUUGCAAAAGACCAGAAAGAGGCCCAACCAACAACAACUACUGCUGCACAACUAGUGGAUGCAACAGCCAAAGGAGGAAUGUUAAUCCCACCAGCUGCAGCCCCAGCCCCAGCCCCGGCCCCAGCCCCGGCCGCAGCCCCGGCCGCAGCCCCUGCCCCACCCGCAGCCGCAGCCCCAGCCCCAGCCCCACCUAAGAUGGAGGUUAAAGCAGAACUAGCUGCCCAACCUGUGACCAACGCACCAAAAGAAGAACCAAAGGGUGCUGCCAAAGAAGCAGAGGCCGCCAAGCCGAAAUCUGACCGCCCGUUCAGCAGACUUUUCAGCAGAAAGGCACUGAUAGGCCUCAAGUCUAAAAUCAAGGUUAAGUCAACAAGUGGAGCCAGAGCCCCUGCCAAGCCUGCUGCAGCGACAGUGGAACCAGUGGAGCCACAGCCGGUUGUGGAAGUACAGAAUGUAGACUUCUCAAAGACGGCCACUCUGGAGGCCUCUGCCACUCUAGAACCACCACCACCUGCACCAGAGGACGAGAAGACACCUGCUGCCUCCAAAGCCUCUCCUUUCACUUCCUUUUCUCUUUUCAAGACCAUGGCAGCUGUGCCGAAAAAGGAAGUCCCUGCCCCAGCUGCAGAAGCGGUAGCUGGCCCAAGUGUAGCCAAGGAUGAACCAAAGGCCCCAGAGGACCCUGCUGUGGACAGCAAGCCCGUGUCAGGGCCCUCCGAGGUUAUGGAGAAUUCCCCCGUCCUCCCUAAGAGACUGGAGAAGAGGAACUCCAUCCACUUGUUCUUCAAAAACCUGGGCAAACGCCAGUCAGAUGCAGGAGUACAAACAGAACCAGAGAAGACCAAAUAAAACGGAAACACCCUUUCAAACUUCACAUGCCAUAUCUGGAAAUGAACUUUUCAUUUGUUAGAUACAUUAUGUUUCUGAUCACACUAUUGAAGGGAUGAUGGUAAGAGCAAGUGGUUUGAGGGAGAGGGGUGGACUGUGGACUGGUCUGUUCUAGUCUAAUCUAAUCUGUGUGGAUGAUUUCAGAGAAUUGUUCUUUGUGGAGGAGGUAAAAUAUAUUUUCUGGUUUAAAGGCUUGAUAGGUAGAGAAAAGUGGUUUUGUUACAUGUACUGAGAGCAAAAUCCAUUUCUAUACAGUAUUUACCCUUCUUUUAACAUGUCACUUAUUCCACGGAGGGCUGAGUGUCUGCGGGUUUUUGCUCCUCCCUUGAUUGAUUAAUUAAGGUCACUAAUUAGUAAAGAACUCCCCUCACCUGGUUGUCUAAGUCUAAAAACAAAACACCCACAGACACUAAGCCCUUCAUGGAAUGUGUUUGACACCACUGCUUUAACAUAUUAAUAUGUGUAAGGAUCUAAUGCAAAUAUUACGUUUAGCAUAUUUUUUUCCCCUCUUCAUAUACACAUUUUACUAGUCUGAAAAGAACUUGUGGAGUGCAUACAAUGGUUUCAGAUACGUUCAUAGGACGUCUUGGAGAAGAGAUGCAUAAAGCUUAGCUUGAGAUAGAAAUUGAAUAUACUCAAAAUUUAAUGGAGGAGUUGGCGAAAUGGUUGAUAUUCCUGCCAAGAUGUUUUUAUUUAGGCUAGACACAUGCAAUUUACAAUGUAAGCUUUAAACUUUGCAGGAACUGUACACGGAUGCAAAUAUAUGCCAAACACUAAAUUACAAUUUAUGAUUAUAAUCAUACACAGGGGGCGCUCCCAAUCAUUACUUUUUUGGGGAACUACACAGAUCUGGUUGUCUAUAUAGCUAACUGCACAGUCAUGCAUCAUAUUUGAUUAAUGUUUCACUGAAGUAUAAAGGUUUGUUCUAAUUUGGGUGCACUGCUUUACGUGUGUGCCUGUUUGAAUGCAGAUGUUAUAAUCUUGGGGAUCUUGUCUGUUAAUUUCUGCAUCUAUAAUUUGAUAAACUGCAUCUGGAAGUAGAAUGUUUAUUGUGACAGCAAAUUCCAAAUCAUGAAAACCUGC
Molecule: long non-coding RNA, 2975 nt
Filed under: Salmo salar (Atlantic salmon)
Lineage: Eukaryota; Metazoa; Chordata; Actinopteri; Salmoniformes; Salmonidae
Description: lncRNA (ENSSSAG00000093911.1)
Source: RNAcentral